GUGCAUUUCCUUCAUUAGCACUUAUACCAACAUUGGAAAAAUACAGAGAAGAUUAGACUGACCCAUGCACAGGAAUGGCAAGAAAAUCUGUGGUGCAAUUUUUUU
Molecule: small nuclear RNA, 105 nt
Filed under: Sphenodon punctatus (tuatara)
Lineage: Eukaryota; Metazoa; Chordata; Lepidosauria; Sphenodontia; Sphenodontidae
Source: RNAcentral